RNAcentral lists this ribosomal RNA (253 nucleotides) under uncultured bacterium. Its description in RNAcentral is "partial 16S ribosomal RNA". It matches the Rfam family "Bacterial small subunit ribosomal RNA", at positions 524 to 776 of the family's 1533-position model. The record is from RNAcentral.
UACGUAGGUGGCGAGCGUUGUCCGGAAUUAUUGGGCGUAAAGGGUGCGUAGGCGGUAGUUUAAGUGGGGCGUGAAAUCCCCGGGCUUAACCCGGGAGCUGCGCUCCAAACUGGACUACUUGAGUGCAGGAGAGGAAAGCGGAAUUCCCAGUGUAGCGGUGAAAUGCGUAGAGAUUGGGAGGAACACCAGUGGCGAAGGCGGCUUUCUGGACUGUAACUGACGCUGAGGCACGAAAGCGUGGGGAGCAAACAGG